GGUCCCACCUGACCCCAUGCCGAACUCAGAAGUGAAACGCCGUAGCGCCGAUGGUAGUGUGGGGUCUCCCCAUGUGAGAGUAGGGAACUGCCAGGC
This 96-nucleotide ribosomal RNA is filed under the name Klebsiella aerogenes. RNAcentral also lists the same sequence under 36 other names. The record is from RNAcentral. Lineage: Bacteria; Pseudomonadati; Pseudomonadota; Gammaproteobacteria; Enterobacterales; Enterobacteriaceae.